Molecule: long non-coding RNA, 365 nt
Organism: Mastomys coucha (southern multimammate mouse)
Lineage: Eukaryota; Metazoa; Chordata; Mammalia; Rodentia; Muridae
Exons: 2
Source: RefSeq, a predicted model, not a curated record
UGGCUGAGUAAAGGCUCCUGUCUAGUGUUUUAAGGUUCCCUCCUCGUGGACACUUCUCUCCUGAGAUGACUAUGGAGUGAGAGGUCUGCGAACAGAAUGAGCGACACCCCUUUGUGUCAGGGGUUCUCACCCACAGGAUAGACUCACAAUCUGGCUUGCUCCUGGAGUGGCAGCAGAAAAUCCCAUUCACUGAGAAAGGAUGAAGAAGCCUCUGAUUAUGAGCUCAUUCUACUCUAUAUUGCCUUCCAAUAUUUCCUUUUCUUAGUUGCUUUAAGUGUGAACUAUGAGCAUGAGUAUUGAAUAAGACUGGAUGAUUUCAUGUCAUUAUCUUCCUGGCAUCCCUUUAUGCUUGAUAAAUAUGAUUU